CCUACGGGAGGCAGCAGUAGGGAAUCUUCCACAAUGGGCGCAAGCCUGAUGGAGCAACACCGCGUGUGUGAAGAAGGGUUUCGGCUCGUAAAGCACUUUUGUUGGAGAAGAACGUGCGUGAGAGUAAAUGUUCACGCAUUGACGGUAUCCAACGAGAAAGUCACGGCUAACUACGUGCCAGCAGCCGCGGUAAUACGUAGGGUGCAAGCGUUAUCCGGAUUUACUGGGCGUAAAGCGAGCGCAGGCGGUUGCUUAGGUCUGAUGUGAAAGCCUUGGGCUUAACCGAAGAAGUGCAUCUGAAACGGGGCAACUUGAGUGCAGAAGAGGACAGUGGAACUCCAGGUGUAGCGGUGGAAUGCGUAGAUAUAUGGAAGAACACCAGUGGCGAAGGCGGCCGUCUGGUCUGAAACUGACGCUGAGGCUCGAAAGCAUGGGUAGCGAACAGGAUUAGAUACCCCAGUAGUC
Molecule: ribosomal RNA, 465 nt
Filed under: uncultured bacterium
Lineage: Bacteria
Description: partial 16S ribosomal RNA
Rfam family: Bacterial small subunit ribosomal RNA
Source: RNAcentral